This 157-nucleotide ribosomal RNA is filed under the name Pseudomonas syringae group genomosp. 3. RNAcentral's name for it is "partial 16S ribosomal RNA". The stretch from base 43 to 157 matches the Rfam family "Bacterial small subunit ribosomal RNA", at positions 1 to 112 of the family's 1533-position model. The record is from RNAcentral. Lineage: Bacteria; Pseudomonadati; Pseudomonadota; Gammaproteobacteria; Pseudomonadales; Pseudomonadaceae.
UGAGCCAAGUUUAGGGUUUUCUCAAAACCAAGUUAGAUGUUUGAACUGAAGAGUUUGAUCAUGGCUCAGAUUGAACGCUGGCGGCAGGCCUAACACAUGCAAGUCGAGCGGCAGCACGGGUACUUGUACCUGGUGGCGAGCGGCGGACGGGUGAGUA